CCGUCCUUCGGCGAGAUGCCCCGUAAAUCUACUGUAUGAUCAAUCAAAACACGUUUUGUCCAAAGUCCAAACUUAAUGGUGUGAUAUUGUGGCAUAUUUACCCUGGAGCUAGCAUAUAUAUGGAGCUGACUUUGUUCCUGGAGGAGCAGACACAGAGGAGGAAUCUGCUACCUCAAAGCAGUUGAUCGACGCCGGGAGGGUGGGUAUGUGAUGUCGGAGGCUGCCGGGAGGGUGGUGACGAGCUACCGAAGAGAUGAGUUCUGGCUCUCCUCGAUGCCAGGACGAGGCGCUGCUGCCGAUCGGACGUGGACUUGAUUGAUUUUGAUUUGAA
Long non-coding RNA from Triticum urartu, 331 nucleotides. RefSeq lists it as uncharacterized. Lineage: Eukaryota; Viridiplantae; Streptophyta; Magnoliopsida; Poales; Poaceae. The record is from RefSeq and is a predicted model, not a curated record.